AUUGAACGCUGGCGGCAUGCCUUACACAUGCAAGUCGAACGGCAGCACGGGUGCUUGCACCUGGUGGCGAGUGGCGAACGGGUGAGUAAUACAUCGGAACGUACCUUAUCGUGGGGGAUAACGCAGCGAAAGUUGCGCUAAUACCGCAUACGCCCUGAGGGGGAAAGCGGGGGACCGUAAGGCCUCGCGCGAUUAGAGCGGCCGAUGUCUGAUUAGCUUGUUGGUGAGGUAAAAGCUCACCAAGGCGAUGAUCAGUAGCUGGUCUGAGAGGACGAUCAGCCACACUGGGACUGAGACACGGCCCAGACUCCUACGGGAGGCAGCAGUGGGGAAUUUUGGACAACGGGGGCAACCCUGAUCCAGCAAUGCCGCGUGAGUGAAGAAGGCCUUCGGGUUGUAAAGCUCUUUUGUCAGGGAAGAAACAGCAGCUCUAACACAGUCUGCGAAUGACGGUACCUGAAGAAUAAGCACCGGCUAACUACGUGCCAGCAGCCGCGGUAA
RNAcentral lists this ribosomal RNA (501 nucleotides) under uncultured bacterium. Its description in RNAcentral is "partial 16S ribosomal RNA". It matches the Rfam family "Bacterial small subunit ribosomal RNA", at positions 30 to 523 of the family's 1533-position model. The record is from RNAcentral.